Long non-coding RNA from Acanthopagrus latus (yellowfin seabream), 2294 nucleotides. RefSeq lists it as uncharacterized. NCBI's taxonomy places the organism in Eukaryota, Metazoa, Chordata, Actinopteri, Spariformes, Sparidae. The record is from RefSeq and is a predicted model, not a curated record. The transcript is spliced from 3 exons.
UCAUCUUGGACUCUCCAUGGCAACUGCUACAGGAAAUUGAGAUCAAAUUAAGAUAUAAAAUUUGAUUUUUGGAGGGUUUUUGGAAGCCAUUAGCAAGUAUGUAAUGAAGGAAUGAGUGGAUUUAGAUUACGUACACAGACUGACAGCAGAGCUUCAAACAAUUAAUUGAUUAACAAAAAAUUAAUUGUAGAGAAUUUUGAUCGAUUAAGUUUGAUCCAGUCAAAAGAUGAUUUUUCUCUUCUUGUAUCUUGGGGGAAAUAUUUGAGCUUCACUGUGGAGAAAGAUGAAGUGUGUGUGUGCACAGUGUGACAGUAGAAGUCUAUUUUCACACUCUGUGAGUGGCAGGAUUACGAACAUGAGCUGUGACAUCACAAAUAGUAUGGAAGCCAAUUCUGUUCCAAUACUUAGUGUACAGUCUGAUCCUGUCUCCAACAGUUAAACCUGUGAAAUUAGUUAUAUGUUCGUGUUACACAUGUGCAUCCUAUCUCUGUGUGUGACAAUCUCUAAAUGUCUAAAAGAUGUUAUUGAUAACAUUCAUCUACUAAAUGUGUCAGUCUCCACCUACAACAGCGCUGUUGUUGUUCCAAUCAUCUGUUUCCCUCAAAUGGUUGACAGUUUGCUGCAAACAUUAACAUCGCUAAUGCUGUCUAGUAAAUGUUAACAUUGCUAAUACUACUUAAUGUGAACAGUGCUAACAUAAACAUUGUUAACCCUAGCUAGCUAACGUCAGGGCAGUAUGGUAUAAUGGGUUUGGCCAUUUUCAAGUUUUUUUUCGCAGUCUUGGUUGCUGAUUUACUAUUGGCUGAGCCUUCUAAGAACCUGGAACUAUCCGUCAGAAUUCUUACACAGAGAUAAAUCUAACAAUCAUUUUGGACCUGAAUUCACAGUUUUAUAUGGCACAGUUCUGCAAGUUGAAAUGAUUUGUCUACAUAAAAAUGCUAUAAAUAUGACUAAGAACUUUUUUCUUAUACUAGUUUCUAAAACACUGAUUUCAAAUCAAUGAAUCACUUUGGUUUCACUCAACAACGCGUGGUUUCGCUCGAUUAAGCAGUUUUUUCCUUUCAAGCCUCCUCCCCUUCUGUCUCUUUGCAACUUUUUAUAUCUUUUUUUAUAUCAAAGACAACAUUAUGGAAAAAAACACAACUAUGGACUAAAAUGACCUGAAGGUAUGGAGGGUUAUUUUCUCUUACACAUGUGCAGAAUGUACAAGCUCGUUGAAGGUCGGUCAGCUGCAGGCUUUGUGGUGCAUUCAAGUGCAGUUUCCUUUUUCCAAUUCCCAUUUCCAUUUCGAAGUGCAUUAUAUAAUAUAAGCUGUAUUUUUCAACACUAUGUGUCACUUUAUUAUGACUAAUUAUUCCGUAAUUGAGAAAAUAAUCAACAGACUAAUUAAAAUCAUUUUUAAGGUUGGUUGCAGCCCUGACUGACACACACUCGACUCCACCGAAACAGUAGGCGUAUAAAAAUACAGCUUACAGCAGGAGUUUAUAAAAGGUUGAACCACUUAUUCACGAAGGACAAGGUUGUGUGGAUGUUGUCAGUGAGGUGGCAGCACUCAGGUUUUCCCCUGCAUUAUUUAUUUUCCGUAUUGGGGUGGUCUGACCCACUCUUGUAAUGAGAACUAGAGUCACGGUCUGUUUGGAGUCCCGGGGCAAUGCCGUGCAACCGUGUUGUAGGAUCAGUGCUCAACCACACAGGCCUCUACACAGCCACUGUUUGCUCAGACUUCUCUUGGACUGUAAAAGUCAAGCCUUGUUGACACAUCUGUGCUGUCUCUCCCUGAGGCUAAUGGCUAUUACAUCUGUCUGCUUCCUUUCAGAGGGAGAGGAAAACUACAAGAAUCAAAUGCUCUUUUGAAACUAGGCAAAGAGAAAACACUGACAGCUGAUGGAAAGCUGACAGCCUCCUGUGAGGGGAAUUACCACUGUUGAUCUUUCUCACAGCAAGUGAAGCAAGGCCUACAGGUGGCACUUGAAAUUCAACAAAGGCGGGGAAGUAGAGAUGGAGCAUGCGCAUUAAGCUUGUGCUCUUUAUACAAACAGCCAGCAGACAGUGAAUCCGAACUACAAGAGGAAGACGACAAUGAAAGUACAAGGAAACCAGAAUCGUUUGUGUGGACCGUUAAUGAGGUCAAACUGCUGCAACUCACACUCAACUGCAAGGCGAUCAGCUGAAGGCGUCCUGAAUCUCAUCGGUGCACUUGCCUCAGUGGCCGAUAUGUUUCCAUUUGGUUGUGAUAAAGAACACGCCUGUCUUCAACCAGGAUCCGAUAUCCUACAGAUUAUAACACUGCAGAC